GACAAACUCUCCUUCACACACCGUAACUCUUAACUCUUAACUUUUAUGCACAAAACCUUCAAACACUUAGCAAACCAACAGACAUUCUGUAUGAGCUGCUGAAAACACUUGCAGAUGAGUCAUAAAAGACGUGGCUAACUCAUGGCAAAAAUCUGAGGCCAACAUCUGUCACAAGCCAUGACUCAGCUAGCUGGCCAACUCAUCGUCGGCUGCCCAAUCACAUGCAAGACCAUGCAAUCGUUCGGGGGCCGAACUUGAACUUCGGAAGCCGAACAUUGGGCACUUUCGGC
RNAcentral lists this long non-coding RNA (290 nucleotides) under Manihot esculenta (cassava). RNAcentral's name for it is "long non-coding RNA (MESC_LNC006039)". Lineage: Eukaryota; Viridiplantae; Streptophyta; Magnoliopsida; Malpighiales; Euphorbiaceae. The record is from RNAcentral.